RNAcentral lists this ribosomal RNA (1005 nucleotides) under Bacillus tequilensis. RNAcentral's name for it is "bacterial SSU rRNA". It matches the Rfam family "Bacterial small subunit ribosomal RNA", at positions 49 to 1034 of the family's 1533-position model. Lineage: Bacteria; Bacillati; Bacillota; Bacilli; Caryophanales; Bacillaceae. The record is from RNAcentral.
UAAUACAUGCAAGUCGAGCGGACAGAUGGGAGCUUGCUCCCUGAUGUUAGCGGCGGACGGGUGAGUAACACGUGGGUAACCUGCCUGUAAGACUGGGAUAACUCCGGGAAACCGGGGCUAAUACCGGAUGGUUGUUUGAACCGCAUGGUUCAAACAUAAAAGGUGGCUUCGGCUACCACUUACAGAUGGACCCGCGGCGCAUUAGCUAGUUGGUGAGGUAACGGCUCACCAAGGCAACGAUGCGUAGCCGACCUGAGAGGGUGAUCGGCCACACUGGGACUGAGACACGGCCCAGACUCCUACGGGAGGCAGCAGUAGGGAAUCUUCCGCAAUGGACGAAAGUCUGACGGAGCAACGCCGCGUGAGUGAUGAAGGUUUUCGGAUCGUAAAGCUCUGUUGUUAGGGAAGAACAAGUACCGUUCGAAUAGGGCGGUACCUUGACGGUACCUAACCAGAAAGCCACGGCUAACUACGUGCCAGCAGCCGCGGUAAUACGUAGGUGGCAAGCGUUGUCCGGAAUUAUUGGGCGUAAAGGGCUCGCAGGCGGUUUCUUAAGUCUGAUGUGAAAGCCCCCGGCUCAACCGGGGAGGGUCAUUGGAAACUGGGGAACUUGAGUGCAGAAGAGGAGAGUGGAAUUCCACGUGUAGCGGUGAAAUGCGUAGAGAUGUGGAGGAACACCAGUGGCGAAGGCGACUCUCUGGUCUGUAACUGACGCUGAGGAGCGAAAGCGUGGGGAGCGAACAGGAUUAGAUACCCUGGUAGUCCACGCCGUAAACGAUGAGUGCUAAGUGUUAGGGGGUUUCCGCCCCUUAGUGCUGCAGCUAACGCAUUAAGCACUCCGCCUGGGGAGUACGGUCGCAAGACUGAAACUCAAAGGAAUUGACGGGGGCCCGCACAAGCGGUGGGAGCAUGUGGUUUAAUUCGAAGCAACGCGAAGAACCUUACCAGGUCUUGACAUCCUCUGACAAUCCUAGAGAUAGGACGUCCCCUUCGGGGGCAGAGUUG